UUUCCCUAGUACGGCGAGUGAAGCGGGAAGAGCUCAAAUUUGAAAUCUGGUGGCCUCAGGUCAUCCGAGUUGUAAUCUAUAGAAGUGUUUUCCGUGCUGGCUCAUGUACAAGUCCCUUGGAACAGGGCGUCAUAGAGGGUGAGAAUCCCGUCCUUGACAUGAACUACCAGUGCUCUGUGAUACAUUUUCAACGAGUCGAGUUGUUUGGGAAUGCAGCUCAAAAUGGGUGGUAAAUUCCAUCUAAAGCUAAAUAUUGGCGAGAGACCGAUAGCGAACAAGUACCGUGAGGGAAAGAUGAAAAGCACUUUGGAAAGAGAGUUAAACAGUAUGUGAAAUUGUUGAAAGGGAAACGAUUGAAGUCAGUCGUGCUCUUUGGAUUCAGCCGGUUCUGCCGGUGUACUUCCUUUGAGUGGGGUCAACAUCAGUUUUGAUCGCUGGAUAAAGGCUGGAGGAACGUAGUACCCUCGGGUAAACUUAUAGCCUCCUGUCACAUACAGUGGUUGGGACUGAGGAACGCAGCACGCCUUUAUGGCCGGGAUUCGUCCACGUACGUGCUUAGGAUGUUGACAUAAUGGCUUUAAACGACCCGUCUUGAAACACGGACCCC
This 607-nucleotide ribosomal RNA is filed under the name Filobasidium magnum. RNAcentral describes it as "eukaryotic LSU rRNA". It matches the Rfam family "Eukaryotic large subunit ribosomal RNA", at positions 75 to 669 of the family's 3401-position model. The record is from RNAcentral. Lineage: Eukaryota; Fungi; Basidiomycota; Tremellomycetes; Filobasidiales; Filobasidiaceae.